This is a non-coding RNA of Ciona intestinalis (vase tunicate), 1098 nucleotides long. NCBI's taxonomy places the organism in Eukaryota, Metazoa, Chordata, Ascidiacea, Phlebobranchia, Cionidae. The record is from RefSeq and is a predicted model, not a curated record.
AGAAGAACCCACUUCAAAAUGGUAUGUGACGUCACAGGAUCCAGCGAACCGUCAAGCUUGAAACUGGAAUGAAGAAAAGUCAGCGAAUUAGGCUGCAGAAGAAAAGCACAAGACGAAGAACAAAGACGAAGACGCCAAUAAGGAUAAUGGUUUGAGGUUUCACUAUAGAGUAAAAAUUGUGGGUUGGCACGUGUGUGUGUAUUUGUUGGUGAGCUCUCAAUUUUCGCUGGACCUAGCGUUGCCAGCUUUUUUAGUCAGUCACUACUUAGUGCAUUUUGCAUAUCACUGUAAUAUAUACAAUGAAACUAUGGCGAACAUCUUGCUGGAUCAGAUUUGUUGUUGUACACUCUAUUGAGUAUUUCGCCUGCCAAGAUCGAAUCGUUCAGCGAUUCCGUAUUGUCUCAAUUUACCGGGUGAGAACGCUGUGUUGGUACACAAAUACUCCAGUACUAUCAACGCGCAUUAUAAUAUACACCCAUACAAUUUGAACAUUUCCCAUGUAUUUAUUUUUACCUUAACGUAGUAAUAACCCCCUCCGUGUUAAAACUGUUAGCCCCCCCCCCAAAGCCUGAUUGUGACGCUGGCCACGUUGCAAUUACGCUACAUCGAUGGGUCGUUAGGACCUUGCGUCCGGUGCGGUUACGACCGUUUGGCAAAGUUACGUUAUACAGCUGCGGGUUUGUUACGUGGACGUCACCGCAUUGUGCUGCAGUGGUGCUACGCCUGGAUAUUUAGGCCACUGAUAGCGCGGUACGUAACAAUCAAUGUAGUCUUUCGUGACGGUCGAUGCGGUGCGUAACAUCCGGACGUUAUUAUAAUAUGCGUAAAUAUACGAGAAUAUCGCGGUACCAACAUGUCGUUCUUACUGAGUGAUUGGGACAUACAGAGCUGUUGUCGGAUUCGACUUCUUGUGGUCGGACAUUCAAUAUGGUGUACACUGCAGAUGCUUAUCCUUCAGGAUUUGACCAUAUUUUCUUAGUAGAUAUUUCAAUGUUUAUGUCCGCGUUAAUUACUUUUUUUGUAACUGUCCCAUUUUUUGUACGACUGAGCUGUUGUGUUAUCGUUUGUUUUGCACGUUUUGUUUAUUUCUGUACAGUG